CAGCCGGCCAGCAAAUGUGAGAAUGAUCUGCAUCUGUUUUUGUGUAGGCCAAGGUCAAGGAUUUCCACCGCAGCUCGAGGGGCUGAGGGUGGAAACCCAUCUGUUCCUCACCACUGGCGGAGACCACAAUCUGCAGCCAUGGAGACAGUGGAAUGCUUUUCCUACAACGGGAUCCGUCUGCCCUAGAAGAGGGGGCAAGGAAGGAAAACAAAGCUGCAAGCACUGAAGAAUAUUAACAAGAGAAUAAGGUUGCCAGAUUUAACAAAUAAAAA
Molecule: long non-coding RNA, 272 nt
Filed under: Homo sapiens (human)
Lineage: Eukaryota; Metazoa; Chordata; Mammalia; Primates; Hominidae
Description: non-protein coding lnc-SACS-7:1
Source: RNAcentral